Molecule: long non-coding RNA, 170 nt
Organism: Mastomys coucha (southern multimammate mouse)
Lineage: Eukaryota; Metazoa; Chordata; Mammalia; Rodentia; Muridae
Exons: 3
Source: RefSeq, a predicted model, not a curated record
UGGAUACGAUCAAAAACUCAGGUGACAGCAGAUGCUGGAUGUUCUACCAAUGAUACCUCCAAGAAAUCCUGAUGUAUUUACUUAAGAAAGACAAUCUUUUCCACCAGAAAAAAGCAAAGGUGUCUCAGCAAAGACAAAUGACACUGAAAUGAUGAUAACCUCUAACAAAG